Molecule: transfer RNA, 70 nt
Filed under: Thryssa baelama (Baelama anchovy)
Lineage: Eukaryota; Metazoa; Chordata; Actinopteri; Clupeiformes; Engraulidae
Description: tRNA-Tyr
Rfam family: tRNA
About the family: Transfer RNA (tRNA) molecules are approximately 80 nucleotides in length. Their secondary structure includes four short double-helical elements and three loops (D, anti-codon, and T loops).
Source: RNAcentral
GGUAGAUUGGCCGAGAGCUAGGCGGCGGAUUGUAGCUCCGAUUACAGAGGUUUAAUUCCUCUUUCUACCA